UAUCUUCAUAUGCUGCCGCCGGAUCGGCUUCGACUGUCAUCCUCUACCUCGGCUACCUCCUCCAACACUGACGAUUCAUGAAGAAUCUGAAUGUGUUAUGCACCCAAGCUGUUGGCAGUAUUGCAGGUGGAGUUGUAUAGGAAAGCUGAACAAUUAUAUCUCGAAGCAAUUGAAAUCCUGGAGAAAUCAUUUGAACCUACUGAUAUACUGUACUGGUUGGAACAACUUUGCGUAAUGUUGGACAAUACUAUCAUAUUCAGAACAGGUUUGAUCAAGCUGAGAUAUAUUACGAGAUUGCCAAGAUAAACUGAUGAUACAUGGCCCAAGUUUUGGUUGCAAGGUUAUGAAAGAGGCUACUACAAGAUAAAUAGAAUGUCAUUGUAUUGAUCAAUGUUUCAAACAUUAUAGUUGAUUGCAAGCUCGGGAAUUGGGCUACUACUAGAUAGUUUCACAUCAUGUAAUCUUUGGAUCGUGAUCUUUGUAAUGCAACAUAUCUGG
This is a long non-coding RNA of Triticum aestivum (bread wheat), 498 nucleotides long. RefSeq lists it as uncharacterized. Lineage: Eukaryota; Viridiplantae; Streptophyta; Magnoliopsida; Poales; Poaceae. The transcript has 4 exons. The record is from RefSeq and is a predicted model, not a curated record.